AAAAUAUUUUUUCUAACAACAUUAUCAACAAUGCAUCAUACACAUAAUUCAUAAACAACGUUUGUAUUAAACCAACUUAACAGAGAGUAGUUUUGGAUUCUAAAACCCUAAGAAUUUGAUGAUGGAGCUCCUUACGUAUUCUUCACCCUCAAUGAUUUAUUGUAUAAAUAUCAAUUUAA
RNAcentral lists this small RNA (179 nucleotides) under Arabidopsis thaliana (thale cress). Its description in RNAcentral is "ATSL150200". Lineage: Eukaryota; Viridiplantae; Streptophyta; Magnoliopsida; Brassicales; Brassicaceae. The record is from RNAcentral.